RNAcentral lists this long non-coding RNA (1623 nucleotides) under Homo sapiens (human). RNAcentral's name for it is "long non-coding RNA NONHSAT220705.1". The record is from RNAcentral. Lineage: Eukaryota; Metazoa; Chordata; Mammalia; Primates; Hominidae.
UUAGUAGAGACAUGUUGGUCAGGCUGGUCUCGAACUCCUGACCUCAGGUGAUUCACCUGCCUCGGCCUCCCAAAGUACUGGGAUUACAGGCAUGAGCCACUGCGCCUGGUCCUGUAUUUUAGAUAAGAAAGAUGCUUUAUCUGUCUCCCAUUGGAAUACACUUUUGUUGUUCGUUUUUUUUUAACUUAAUUAAACUUGAAAGCCAACUUUUGUCAAAACAGAAGAAAAUAAAGCAAUUUUUAAAAAAAUCCAGUGUUUAAAAUACUUGUCAUUUAUAAUAUAUGCAUAUAACAGAAAAGUAGAAAAUAAUUCUGCAUUUUAAAAGCUUAGCUUCUACAUGGCAAGUGUGGGACAUAAAGUUGAUACUUGACCAUUAACUGGAUAUAUUCUAGAUUUUCACAUUUAAUGAUAAUGGAUGUGUGCGUCUCAUGGUCAAACUAAAAUGAUUUAUUUUUUACAAAUUAUCUUUAUCAUUAGCAAACCAGUCUUACUUUUAUUAGUCAAUUAUAAGUCCACAGAGAUAUAGGAGCUCAAUUUGUUACAGGGAACUUGAGCAUUCCAUGGAUUAUCUGAGCUGAAUUUGAAGAAUGUACUGUGGAGAUCUUCUAUGUGAUAUAUAUAAAGGACGUAGGUCAACUACUGGUUAUUAUUUAGAAAAUACUUUAGGGAAAAAAAUUAUCUUCUGGGGCCAAUAAUUGAGUUCUAUUAAACUACAGAGGUAGAUAAUUUUGAAAUGAGAAAUCAAAAUAUAUUUUGAUUUUAUAUUACUCAUAUUUUCAUUUUAUUCAUAAAGUUUUUUGGAAAAAGACAACAGAAAUUGUACUUUGUUGAGAAGACUCCUAGAGCCAAAUAGUCACAGACUCAGAAUACACAGAGACAAGCAAAGAUGGUUCCAGCAAGCUCUAAGGACACAGACAUGUGAAAGAGGCGCUGAAGACACACGAGGACUGAUGCAUGGUAGAUGUCAUCCUGAUAUGGCUGGGCUUCUGGACUCACUGCCUCCUCCUUCUAGAACCCAGCACCUCCAAGGCUGGGAGAAGAGAAGUUUGGGGUCUAUGGGAAAUGACCUCUGGAAGUGGCUGUGACUGUUUCCAAAGACAAAUACAAUCUAGAUUCUCGAAACAAUGCAAAUGAACAAAAAAUGUGAGUUUAGCAGUUAGUGAAACAUUAAGAUGAGAUACAGGAGUAAACACAUUUUUUUCCAUAAAAGUAGUGGAUGUUAAAUAAUGAAAUACAGUGGUAAAACAAUUACAGCCUGGAGGCUUUAAGAUGUAAAUCAAAAAUGGAGACCAGUGGUGUUAAUAUCAUAUGAGAGGAUUAAAUAUGAGCUGCUGGUCCAACUGUGUUCUGCAGGAAUUCAGGCAGAUGGAUGAGAGACAGGCUAUGAGUAAAGCAUUACCACAGCUGGGGGUGCGGUGUAUGGAAGCUCAUCCUAGCUAGCACUUGGAGAAGAACUCACACAUUGCAAACAUAUCCGGUUAAAAACUGGCAUUUGCUGCAACUAAAAAAGGCAAGUGAUGGUCUAGGUGAACUGCCUUUUCUUUCUCUCCUUCCAAAGGACAAAAUUAAUUUUUUUUUUUUUUUGAGACGGAGUCUUGCUCUGUCACCCAGACUGGAGUGUAG